Molecule: non-coding RNA, 101 nt
Organism: Saccoglossus kowalevskii
Lineage: Eukaryota; Metazoa; Hemichordata; Enteropneusta; Harrimaniidae
Gene: Mirlet7
Product: microRNA let-7
Source: RefSeq, marked provisional
GUUGUUGCCUACUCUCUGGGUGAGGUAGUAGGUUGUAUAGUUGAGAGCUAUACCAUUGGGAGAUAACUGUACAACUUGCUAACUUUCCCAGGGGUGGGGAA